This 460-nucleotide ribosomal RNA is filed under the name uncultured bacterium. RNAcentral's name for it is "partial 16S ribosomal RNA". It matches the Rfam family "Bacterial small subunit ribosomal RNA", at positions 338 to 795 of the family's 1533-position model. The record is from RNAcentral.
CCUACGGGUGACAGCAGUGAGGAAUAUUGGUCAAUGGGCGCGAGCCUAAACCAGCCAAGUAGCGUGAAGGAUGACUGCCCUACGGGUUGUAAACUUCUUUUAUAAAGGAAUAAAGUGAGGCACGUGUGCCUUUUUGUAUGUACUUUAUGAAUAAGGAUCGGCUAACUCCGUGCCAGCAGCCGCGGUAAUACGGAGGAUCCGAGCGUUAUCCGGAUUUAUUGGGUUUAAAGGGAGGGUAGAGGGGUUGUUAAGUCAGUUGGUAAAGUUUGGGGCGUAACCGUAAAAUUGCAAUUGAAACUGGCAGCCUUGAGUACAGUUGAGGUAGGCGGAAUUCGUGGUGUAGCGGUGAAAUGCUUAGAUAUCACGAAGAACUCCGAUUGCGAAGGCAGCUUACUAAACUGCCACUGACAUUGAUGCUCGAAAGUGUGGGUAUCAAACAGGAUUAGAUACCCCAGUAGUC